GGGGCUGUAGCUCAGUGGUAGAGCACCUGCCUAGCAUGCAUGAGGCACUGGGUUCAAUCCUCAGCACCA
This 69-nucleotide transfer RNA is filed under the name Marmota marmota marmota (Alpine marmot). It matches the Rfam family "tRNA". From Rfam's summary of the family: Transfer RNA (tRNA) molecules are approximately 80 nucleotides in length. Their secondary structure includes four short double-helical elements and three loops (D, anti-codon, and T loops). RNAcentral also lists the same sequence under 2 other names. Lineage: Eukaryota; Metazoa; Chordata; Mammalia; Rodentia; Sciuridae. The record is from Rfam by way of RNAcentral.